AGCUUUGUGCAAUGGCAAUAUCGUAGCCAGUGAGAUUUAUCCAAGACGUGAUUAUUGUUACUUGAAAAAAAAAAAAAUCCAAUUAGAAUCCAAGGAAAAGACAUGAAGACAACAUACAGAUGU
RNAcentral lists this small nuclear RNA (123 nucleotides) under Loxodonta africana (African savanna elephant). RNAcentral describes it as "U4 spliceosomal RNA". It matches the Rfam family "U4 spliceosomal RNA". From Rfam's summary of the family: U4 small nuclear RNA (U4 snRNA) is a component of the major U2-dependent spliceosome. The structure of U4 snRNA from yeast and human has been reported. U4 snRNA presents a k-turn RNA motif in the 5p-SL related to recognition of Snu13 protein. The record is from Rfam by way of RNAcentral. Lineage: Eukaryota; Metazoa; Chordata; Mammalia; Proboscidea; Elephantidae.